Molecule: ribosomal RNA, 403 nt
Filed under: uncultured bacterium
Lineage: Bacteria
Description: partial 16S ribosomal RNA
Rfam family: Bacterial small subunit ribosomal RNA
Source: RNAcentral
AUUGAACGCUGGCGGCAGGCCUAACACAUGCAAGUCGAGCGAGCGGCGGACGGGUGAGUAAUGCAUGGGGACUGCCCGACAGAGGGGGACAACUAAUGGACACGGUAGUUAAUACAUCAUACUAUAGGAUACCCCAUAUGGGAGUAGCUAUAAGGUGAGGUAACGGCCCACCUAGGCGACGAUCUCUAGCUGGUCUGAGAGGAUGAUCAACCUCACUGGAACUGUGACGCGGCCCAGACUCCGACGGAGGCGGCAGUGGGGAAGAUUGCACAAUGGGCGCAAGCCUGAUGCAGCCAUGCCACGUGUAUGAAGACGGCACUAGGGUUGUAAAGUACUUUCAGUCGGGAGGCGUUGCCGACAGAAGGAGCACCGGCUAACUCCGUACCAGCAGCCGCGGUAAUUC